Molecule: non-coding RNA, 46 nt
Organism: Aedes aegypti (yellow fever mosquito)
Lineage: Eukaryota; Metazoa; Arthropoda; Insecta; Diptera; Culicidae
Source: Rfam
CAAUCGGCCCUUUCCAGGGCCAACAAAUGUGUUUUAAAGAGUUUUU